AUGUUGUCUUGGUUGCUCCUGGUGUCUCCGGCGUUGGAAUUGACAAUCUCGAACAUCGUGCUCAGUUUUGGGCGGCUUCUGAAGACGUCGGAAUUCGGGGUGCAAUAUUGGACUCGCCAUUGCUUCCUCCAUGGCUUCUUCCUCCGGCCCUGUCGUGUCCUGCAAUCCACUUGCCGACUCCUCCAUUGUCCUAGACUUGGGACUUGUGGCCGCAUGACAGAGCUCGCGGCCCGCGCGGCCACCCUGCAGCCGGCGAGCCGCAAGUACACCUACGCGGCCACGGAGCCCGGCGGCCGGAAGGUCAAGUGGACGGCAGAGGAGAAGCCGCGCGGCAGGGGCUGGGCACUCAAGUGCGAGGCGGAGCUCGCCUCCCCCAACGACGAUAGAUUCGACCGCAAGUGGAGGUGGGAGGCCAAGUCCAAGGGCGGCGCCGGAGGCAAGACCAAAACCAAGUGGGGCACCGAGAUCAAGGGCAAAGGCUCGCUCGAGCCAUGGUCGCAUGCCUACACCUGGGAGGAGGACUUCACCGCCUCUGACGACGACGAGGAUGAGCUGGAGGUCGAGGAGCGCAGGCCGGAGAAGCCCAAGAAGAUCAAGGCCGCCGCCAAGGACAAGGAGGAUGACAAGAAGAAGAAGAAGCCGGCGAGGACGUGCGUCCAGAUCGAGGAGAUCCCCGAGGACAACACCGCCGGCUGCGACGCCAUCCGCAAGGUACGGUACUCAGCACAAAAGAUGAGAUUUUUGCGGGGGUUUGGAUUCUGUGGCCCGAUCUGA
RNAcentral lists this ribosomal RNA (774 nucleotides) under Triticum aestivum (bread wheat). RNAcentral's name for it is "partial small subunit ribosomal RNA". The record is from RNAcentral. Lineage: Eukaryota; Viridiplantae; Streptophyta; Magnoliopsida; Poales; Poaceae.